This is a non-coding RNA of Drosophila virilis, 1907 nucleotides long. The record is from Rfam. Lineage: Eukaryota; Metazoa; Arthropoda; Insecta; Diptera; Drosophilidae.
CAACGCUUGCACUUCUCAGAGUUAAAUGGCGCCUGAUGUAUCAUUUUCACCUUUGUCUUCUGUGCGCUUUUUCACAGACUCACAUGGCGCAACUCUCCUAGAUUCCGUUCGGACCCCUCUUGAUUCACCCACCCCCGACUCCCACCUACGCCCACUUACUCGAAAUCCUUGCCUACUAACCUAAUUAACUUGACUAUUAAUGGGAUUAGUUUUUUAACUAUUUAUAGUUAAUUAACGCAAUCCCGGGGCGCUCUAUAUAGUUAUGUAUAAUAAUAUUUAUAUUAUUUAUGCCUCUAACUGGAACGUACCUUGAGCAUAUAUGCUGUGACCCGAAAGAUGGUGAACUAUACUUGAUCAGGUUGAAGUCAGGGGAAACCCUGAUGGAAGACCGAAACAGUUCUGACGUGCAAAUCGAUUGUCAGAAUUGAGUAUAGGGGCGAAAGACCAAUCUAACCAUCUAGUAGCUGGUUCCUUCCGAAGUUUCCCUCAGGAUAGCUGGUGCAUUUAACUGUUGUAUAAAAUAAUCUUAUCUGGUAAAGCGAAUGAUUAGAGGCCUUAGGGUCGAAACGAUCUUAACCUAUUCUCAAACUUUAAAUGGGUAAGAACCUUAACUUUCUUGAUAUGAAGUUUAAGGUUAUGAUAUAAUGUGCCCAGUGGGCCACUUUUGGUAAGCAGAACUGGCGCUGUGGGAUGAACCAAACGUAAUGUUACGGUGCCCAAAUUAACAACUCAUACAGAAACCAUGAAAGGCGUUGGUUGCUUAAAACAUCAGGACGGUGAUCAUGGAAGUCGAAAUCCGCUUAAUGAUUUGUGUAACAACUCACCUGCCGAAGCAACUAUCCCUUAAAUUGGAUGGCGCUUAAGUUUGUAUACCUAUACAUUACCGCUAAAGUAGAUGGUUUAUAUUACUUGUAAUAUUAAAUUUUGAAACUUUUAGUGAUUAGGAUAGUACAAUGGUGUUGCAUAGAAGUGUUUGGCGUAAGCCUGCAUGGAGCCGCUAUUGGUACAGAUCUUGGUGGUAGUUGCAAAUUACCAAAAUGAAACCUUGGAGGACUGAAAUGGAAAAGGGUUUCUUGCCAAACGUUUUUGAUCAACGAUUUAUCUUGUCCUAAAUUUCAGGCAAAAGCCCGAAAUUUUUUAUGUAAAAAAAAUUCUUAAAUAUAUUUGUCAUCUAACCGAUUUUUAUACACUUGAAUAAUUUUGAACGAAAGGGAAUACGGUUCCAAUUCCGUAACCUGUUGAGUAUCCGUUUGUUAUUAAAUAUGGGCCUCGUGCUCAUCCUGGCAACAGGAACGACCAUAAAGAAGCCGUCGAGAGGUAUCGGAAGAGUUUUCUUUUCUGUUUUAUAGCCGUACUACCAUGGAAGUCUUUCGCAGAGAGAUAUGGUAGAUGGGCUAGAAGAGCAUGACAUAUACUGUUGUGUCGAUAUUUUCUCCUCGGACCUUGAAAAUUUAUGGUGGGGACACGCAAACUUCUCAACAGGCCGUACCAAUAUCCGCAGCUGGUCUCCAAGGUGAAGAGUCUCUAGUCGAUAGAAUAAUGUAGGUAAGGGAAGUCGGCAAAUUAGAUCCGUAACUUCGGGAUAAGGAUUGGCUCUGAAGAUUGAGAUAGUCGGGCUUGAUUGGGAAACAAUAACAUGGUUUAUGUGCUCGUUCUGGGUAAAUAAAGUUUCUAUCAUUUAUGGUAGUUUCUUGUUCCCCGGAUAGUUUAGUUACGUUACCCAUUGUGGGACCUUUCUUGCUAAAUUUUUUAAGAAUACUAGUUGGGGGCUACCAAUUAGUUUUUUUUAAUUUAUACCGAUUAUUCAAUUUAACAAAUCAAUUCAAAAACUGGCCCGAAACUUUGGGGAAUCCCAAUGGUUUAAAUUAAAAAAAAAAACUUUGUGUGGGGCCCCCUUUUCGGGGGAA